AUAUUGGGUGAGGAUGGGAUAAUCUGCAUCCUGAGGUUUAAGACAAUAUUUGCGUAAUUUCCAAAAAAUAAAUAAAUUGCGUAAUCGUUUCUAAGCCUCGGAGUGCGGAUUAUCUUUUCCUAUCACCAAUGC
This 132-nucleotide microRNA precursor is filed under the name Medicago truncatula (barrel medic). Its description in RNAcentral is "miR2111g stem-loop (mtr-MIR2111g)". The record is from miRBase by way of RNAcentral. Lineage: Eukaryota; Viridiplantae; Streptophyta; Magnoliopsida; Fabales; Fabaceae.